Molecule: ribosomal RNA, 334 nt
Filed under: uncultured eukaryote
Lineage: Eukaryota
Description: partial 18S ribosomal RNA
Rfam family: Eukaryotic small subunit ribosomal RNA
Source: RNAcentral
CUCCUAGAUGUUCUGGGCUGCACGCGCACUACAAUGGUGGCUAAAACGAGCACUCCGAAUCUUCGGCCCUGGUCCGAAAGGACUGGGAAAUCUUUGGAACAGCCACCGUGACUGGGAUAGAUGAUUGCAAUUAUUCGCCCUGAACGAGGAAUGCCUAGUACAGGCAGGUCAUCAGCCUGCCUGGACUACGUCCCUGUCAUUUGUACACACCGCCCGUCGUUGCUACCGAUGGUAGUCGAAUAGAGGUGUUGGGAGGGUGCCAUUACCGUUCUACGGUUCUGGUCGUCCGAACUCCACCGAUAUUUGUCUACUAGAGGAAGCAAAAGUCGUAACA